Molecule: long non-coding RNA, 344 nt
Organism: Pteronotus mesoamericanus
Lineage: Eukaryota; Metazoa; Chordata; Mammalia; Chiroptera; Mormoopidae
Exons: 3
Source: RefSeq, a predicted model, not a curated record
GGGCGGGCUGGAUAACUGGAGCGAGGCGGAGGAGGGACGAGCUCCGAGCUUGGAAGUGCGGGGUGAGGACUUGCAGACUUGUCAUCGAACAACUGGUCCCAAAGAGAGAAGCCAGGCCCUGAUGAGAUACUGUGGGAUGCAAUUGCCAGCCAACUAAUCUUCCUCAACUGUUAUAGACGUUGGGCUGCUAAAGCUGGAACAGGAAGGGCCCAAGAUCCGCAUUAAUUCUGUUCCAAAUCCUGUUAGAAGGCCAAGCCCUUGUUGCAGUGCUGGACUCCACCCCCACAGUCAACUCAUGAAGAAGUGAAUGAAGAAAUGGAUGAAUGGCAGAGGUAUAGCAUAAC